CAGUCCCGGCUCUACAGGCGCGUUACGGCGCCCCGAGGCAUUUCGGGACUUGUAGUCCGGGAAGUGAGUAAACUGGCGCGGAACCGGGGCACCGCCCCCAACGCCGCGUUCUCGGGCGCCGAUUGGCUCAGAGCGAGGACGGGCGGGCGCGACGGCCAAUGGAAGGCGGCAGGGCCCGAGGGAUUUGGGGGCUGUUUCUGACGCCCCCCAUGACCCCCCGCAGCCCCCUCGGGGGCAGGGGGACACCAGAACCCCCCGGCGCCACGUUGGCCGUGAAGGUGAAGAAGCCAGGGUGGCGCCCCCUGGUGCAGAGAUGCCCAGCAGCUGCGGCUGACUGGCGACAGGGCCUCGCGGGAGUCACGUGCCUGACACACUGAGGGAUUUCUCCUUUAAUCUGAUGUGUGCGGUGAAACUACAACAGGGUAUGGUCCUGGAGGAACCACGAAGGGGUCUCUGGUGGUCAUAUUCACUGAAUGCUUCCAUAUUACAGGUUUGGGCCCAAAUCCGCCCCCAGGAAGCCAUGCCAGGAGGCCGUAGCCGAGGCCCAUUUAGGUAUAAAAAGAGUGAUUUUGGGACAAACACUCUGUGUCUGCAGAGUUCUGGGAAUUCAGGAGCUGAGGGGCUGGAGAGUGGGGGACGACUGGGGACGCUUCAUUCCUGUUUUUUUCCUCAUUGUUUGGGGAUGGGCAGAAAUUGAGGAUUUUUUCUGCCCAGAUUUCAGAUUUUUUACUCUUUUCCCCUCCUCAGUUUUGUGUCUUUUUCCCUCU
Molecule: long non-coding RNA, 767 nt
Organism: Corvus hawaiiensis (hawaiian crow)
Lineage: Eukaryota; Metazoa; Chordata; Aves; Passeriformes; Corvidae
Exons: 4
Source: RefSeq, a predicted model, not a curated record